CAAAAUGUAGCUUAAUUAAAGCCUCCCGCUUACACCGAGAAAAUAUCCGUGAAACCCCGAUCAUUUUGAGCCUAAAAUCUA
RNAcentral lists this transfer RNA (81 nucleotides) under Leptomantis gauni. Its description in RNAcentral is "Rhacophorus gauni tRNA-Val". The stretch from base 1 to 69 matches the Rfam family "tRNA". From Rfam's summary of the family: Transfer RNA (tRNA) molecules are approximately 80 nucleotides in length. The record is from RNAcentral. Lineage: Eukaryota; Metazoa; Chordata; Amphibia; Anura; Rhacophoridae.